RNAcentral lists this long non-coding RNA (3831 nucleotides) under Daucus carota (carrot). RNAcentral's name for it is "long non-coding RNA (DCAR_LNC001761)". The record is from RNAcentral. Lineage: Eukaryota; Viridiplantae; Streptophyta; Magnoliopsida; Apiales; Apiaceae.
GUACAGUAAUUUCUAAUUAUUAUUUUUUACAUUUUUUGUGUAAACAUUUAAUAAGAUUAAUGUUCAUUGUGGUUGGAUUACAGGGCAUUUCUUGUUGACAAACCUACUACUGGACAAGAUGAAGGAGACAGCAAAAUCUACAGGUGUCGAAGGAAGGAUUGUGAAUCUAUCUUCGAUAGCUCACCAGCAUACUUAUUCUGAAGGAAUACUAUUCGAAAAGCUCAAUGACGAAAAGAGGUAUGCAAAUAUUAAGCUUAUAUUAGUCGGAUGUUUUUCUAUAAUUCAUUCAUCUUAUAUGCAAGUAGUCAUGUGUGUAGCGUGUUAUCUAUACAUGACAUUUUGCAUUGUUUGGGUACACUUCUUGUUAAACUCCGCUUUCACCAGUUAUUCGGACAAAAAGNGUAAUCCUAACUUCUUUUAAGUGCUUCCUGACUUUUUNNNNNNNNNNNNNNNNNNNNNNNNNNNNNNNNNNNNNNNNNNNNNNNNNNNNNNNNNNNNNNNNNNNNNNNNNNNNNNNNNNNNNNNNNNNNNNNNNNNNNNNNNNNNNNNNUUCGACUAAUUGCUUAUAACUUAUAAACUCAGAAGUCGACUUAUUUAUGUGUUGUCAAACACCACCGAAGUUUAGAAAGGAGACGGUUGAUAGGUUGGUGGAUGAAUUUAUUUAGUCAAUUAAAUGUUCCCAUACGCCCCUCAUGCCUCCUCCUUAAUUACCUACAACUCGCCAGAUCAUUAUCUUCUUUUUUCAUUCUUUUUUAACAUAUUUAUUUUAAAUUACUUUUUUAAUAUUUCAAAAUUGUUAUUUGUAUGUAAAUAAUUUUUUUACAUAAAAUUGGAAAAUCAUGCUUUAUACUAUUAUGUGUACUUUAUUGAUUAUUUAUAUAUGUAUUCUUCAAUAAUUUCAUGACCAAAGAACCCUUUUUUUUAAAAUUUUCAUGUCACUAAAUAAUAUUAAAAUAUAGCACCGAAAAAAUGGAUUUGUUUCGUAUAAGAAAGUCUUUGAUCUGACAGACAAAGAUAUGCUUCAGAAAUUUUAAAUUCGUAAAUAAUAGGUACAUUCAUACUGGAUUUAGGAAAAGGUAAACACGGGCCGGCCUGUAUUACCUUUGACGGUAAAAAUAAAUAGGUGGUCUAUAUAUACACAUCAUAUCAUGAAUGUCAGCUCUUAUCUCUGCUACCAGUAUAAGCUAAACAUCUCUGUGUCUCUCCUCUCCUGCCCAUCUCUCUAUACUCCUUUUGCAUAUCUCAUUCAAGAGCCAGAUACAAACACACAUAAUAAUAUAGAAAAGAAACAAGGCAGAACAUGGGUAUAUUUUCAUUGAUGACAGGAAUGGCAGGAGCAAGCGGCUUCGGAUCUGCUUCAACUGCUGAACAAGUCACUGACGGAAUCGAUGCUUCCAAUCUCACUGCCAUCAUAACCGGUAAUCAUAUCCCGAACAAUUUUAGCGUGAAAACACGUAAAAUAUUUUGUGUUAGAAAUUUUUUAGUCGAUAUUGUGAUUACUGAAUCCAUAUAUUUUAUAUGCCCACGCGUACAGGUACAGAAACUGUUACUUUUUUUUUAUGUAUUCGCACAUUAUUACUUUUUUAUGUAUUCAUCUUAAUUUUAAUAAAAUUUGGACUAAGCUGGUAGUAAAAUGAUAUCACGUGAUCAGGAGGUCAUUGUUAUUUCACACAAAUAUGUUCUUAGCUAGUAUUAGUAAGAUUGCAUCUGAAUAUUAGCUGCUCAUAUGCGGUAUGUAUCUGUGAUUGAUUUCCGGGGACAUACAACACAAGAAACUGAUACUAUAAAUUUGUGCGGAUACACUAGUAAGGAAAGAUAUUUAAUUCCACGGUCUAAUCAGGUAGGAAUGGAUUCUUUCAAUAUUCAAAUAUAAUUUGCUCGUUAUUAUAGAUAUGGGGUCAACAUGACAUAAAUAGCAAUAUGAUUUAGAUUGUACCAAAGUUGGUGGUCACAAGUUGAUACAGAUGCCAACCAUAUAUGGUCCUUUAAUUUCUUAUGUGACCUGAUUGGCUGGUUGACCCGGAUGUUGGGAGAUUCGGAGGGGAUGUAUUUUCAAGCUCAACUAGACAACUACUGAUGAAAAUAUUGAAUAAGAUAGAAUCAGCACCUUAUUUAUCUAAUUGUUUAUCUUUCAUUUUUUUUCCGGGAUGAUGAGAAUUCAUACCUUCUUAAAGAAAAGGAGAAGGCGGAUGUUUGAGUGGAUUUGAUUAUAUAAGAUAUAGGAUAGACAUUGGACUUUGUGUUUCUGAAUAGCAAUUCCUUUGGAAAAACCUAUUUUAAUUGUCCUGAUUAACUUUACAGAAUUGAAGAAUAUGUUGUAUAAGUAAAAAUAUAUAUAUUGUGCAAUGUGUACUUACAAUCAAGUUGUAAUUUAAAAAGCAAGAUCAAACACAUAAAAUGGUAUGGACAAUUAUUGAUUAGUGGCAAAUAUCUUGUUGUAAUAGUAUAUAAGUAGUUAGUAUGCUUUUAUACUUUUGUCUAAAUUGACACUUACAUUAAAUAUCAAUUAAUUAGGAAAAAUAGUACAAUAUUUUACUUCCUCGGUCCUAUCAUAUUCUUUAGGUUGGGUUUCGACAAGAAUUUAAGAAAAAUGUAUAAAUUAUUAUAAAAUAGUAAGAAAAUCGAGUAAAAUGAGGGUCUGAUACUCUCAUUAGUAUUUAAUUGAUAGAUCAGAGAAAACAUGUUAAGGUAGUUGGGUUUUAGAAAAUUUUGAAAUGUAAAAUAAUGAGAAAAACAUCCUAAAAGAAAAUUUUGAAGAAAUGGGGGGAAGAGAGUAUAGUCUCUCCUAGCUCGCUCUCUCCCCCUCAUUUCAUUUUGUUGAUAAAGAGUUUCUAAUGAACAUGGAAAAAAUGAAAAAAAAACCAGCAUUAAUUAAGGAAUUAGUUUUGUAUCAAGACCUACAUCAUAUUAGCAUUUGCACUUUACAUGAUUUGCAAAAAAAAACUGCAUUACUUUGGAUCAACACAAUAUAUGUAAUGGAAUUUAGUUGAUUGUUAUGAUCUGAUAAUAAUUAUACCUGUACAGGAGGGGCAAGUGGAAUUGGGUUUGAGACAGCAAGAGUAUUGGCACUGAGGAGAGCUCAUGUGGUAAUAGCAACGAGGAAUGUAGAGGCUGCAAAUGAAGCAAAACAGCUUAUUCUUAAAGAACAAGAAAAUGCUCGCGUCGAUGUUCUUAAACUUGACCUAUGCUCCAUCAAAUCCGUCAGGGCAUUUGCUGAUAGCUUCAAGGCUCUUAACCUUCCGCUCAACAUUCUCAUGUACCUACAUUUUUCUUCCUCUAAACAGCAUAUUAAUUCUAUUUUGCACACGACAGUGUCAAAGUUGCAAAAGUGCUCGUAAAUAUAUCUUAUGUUUUUUUUUUCAGAAACAAUGCUGGCAUUAUGUUUUGCCCUUACAAACUUUCAGAAGAUGGGAUUGAGAUACAAUUUGCAACAAACCAUCUGGGUGAGUGGUACAGUAAUUUCUAAUUAUUAUUUUUUACAUUUUUUGUGUAAACAUUUAAUAAGAUUAAUGUUCAUUGUGGUUGGAUUACAGGGCAUUUCUUGUUGACAAACCUACUACUGGACAAGAUGAAGGAGACAGCAAAAUCUACAGGUGUCGAAGGAAGGAUUGUGAAUCUAUCUUCGAUAGCUCACCAGCAUACUUAUUCUGAAGGAAUACUAUUCGAAAAGCUCAAUGACGAAAAGAGGUAUGCAAAUAUUAAGCUUAUAUUAGUCGGAUGUUUUUCUAUAAUUCAUUCAUCUUAUAUGCAAGUAGUCAUGUGUGUAGCGUGUUAUCUAUACAUGACAUUUUGCAUUGUUUGGGUACACUUCUUGUUAAACUCCGCUUUCAC